Molecule: ribosomal RNA, 537 nt
Filed under: uncultured bacterium
Lineage: Bacteria
Description: bacterial SSU rRNA
Rfam family: Bacterial small subunit ribosomal RNA
Source: RNAcentral
UGGGGAAUCUUGGACAAUGGGGGCAACCCUGAUCCAGCCAUGCCGCGUGAGUGAUGAAGGCCUUAGGGUCGUAAAGCUCUUUCGCCUGUGAAGAUAAUGACGGUAGCAGGUAAAGAAACCCCGGCUAACUCCGUGCCAGCAGCCGCGGUAAUACGGAGGGGGUUAGCGUUGUUCGGAAUUACUGGGCGUAAAGCGCACGUAGGCGGACCAGAAAGUUGGGGGUGAAAUCCCGGGGGCUCAACCCCGGAACUGCCUCCAAAACUAUUGGUCUAGAGUUCGAGAGAGGUGAGUGGAAUUCCAAGUGUAGAGGUGAAAUUCGUAGAUAUUUGGAGGAACACCAGUGGCGAAGGCGGCUCACUGGCUCGAUACUGACGCUGAGGUGCGAAAGUGUGGGGAGCAAACAGGAUUAGAUACCCUGGUAGUCCACACCGUAAAACGAUGAAUGCCAGUCGUCGGGUAGCAUGCUAUUCGGUGACACACCUAACGAUAAGCAUUCCGCUGGGAGUACGGUCGCAAGAUUAAAACUCAAAGGAAUUG